UACGUAGGGUGCGAGCGUUAAUCGGAAUUACUGGGCGUAAAGCGUGCGCAGGCGGUUCGCCAAGUCAGGUGUGAAAUCCCCGGGCUUAACCUGGGAAUUGCGCUUGAAACUAGCGGGCUUGAGUGUGGCAGAGGGGGGUGGAAUUCCACGUGUAGCAGUGAAAUGCGUAGAGAUGUGGAGGAACACCGAUGGCGAAGGCAGCCCCCUGGGUCAACACUGACGCUCAUGCACGAAAGCGUGGGGAGCAAGCAGG
RNAcentral lists this ribosomal RNA (253 nucleotides) under uncultured bacterium. RNAcentral describes it as "partial 16S ribosomal RNA". It matches the Rfam family "Bacterial small subunit ribosomal RNA", at positions 524 to 776 of the family's 1533-position model. The record is from RNAcentral.